AUCUGUUUGGAGUAGUGGUUAGUGUGCUCGGCUGCAGAUCCAAGAGUCGCUGGUUCAAUUCCCCCACCAGAUG
Dallia pectoralis (Alaska blackfish) is the source of this 73-nucleotide non-coding RNA. Lineage: Eukaryota; Metazoa; Chordata; Actinopteri; Esociformes; Umbridae. The record is from the annotation of a GenBank genome assembly.